CGGUGAUGCAAAAUUUUCCACCAUAUAUAUAUAUAAAACUAGGUUAGAAUAUUAUUAAUAGCACUAAGUUAUUAGUGUUAUUAGAUUUUCGAUUCUUAAAUAAAAGAAUAUAUGGUUAGGAUGAUAGUGGUUCCUUUUAGGAUUUAGUGUGUAGUUGGUGAAAUAGUAUAAUCUAAGAGGUGAAAAUAAUUAAAAAAGUAGAUCUAACGGCGAAAAACUUAGUAGCACAAAAUGCUUGAUGCUAUUAAUAGCUUUGUAGCCGGACGCUAUAU
RNAcentral lists this long non-coding RNA (272 nucleotides) under Ananas comosus (pineapple). RNAcentral describes it as "long non-coding RNA (ACOM_LNC015738)". The record is from RNAcentral. Lineage: Eukaryota; Viridiplantae; Streptophyta; Magnoliopsida; Poales; Bromeliaceae.